Molecule: small nucleolar RNA, 128 nt
Filed under: Aotus nancymaae (Ma's night monkey)
Lineage: Eukaryota; Metazoa; Chordata; Mammalia; Primates; Aotidae
Source: RNAcentral
UGUGAGGGAGGUCCUUUUUAAAAACAAUAAUAUUAAAAUAUGAAUAAAUUGGAAACGCCUCAUAGAGUAACUCUGUGGUUUUAUUUUACCCACAGGACUAUUGUGAGAUAAAGAACUACAAGAGCAUU